GACGAACGCUGGCGGCGCGCCUAACACAUGCAAGUCGAACGAGCGAGAGGAGGUUUACUUUCUCAAGCGAGUGGCGAACGGGUGAGUAACGCGUGAGGAACCUGCCUCAAAGAGGGGGACAACAGUGGGAAACGACUGCUAAUACCGCAUAAGCCCACGACCCGGCAUCGGGUAGAGGGAAAAUGAGCAAUCCGCUAUGAGAUGGCCUCGCGUCCGAUUAGCUAGUUGGUGAGGUAAUGGCCCACCAAGGCGACGAUCGGUAGCCGGACUGAGAGGUUGAACGGCCACAUUGGGACUGAGACACGGCCCAGACUCCUACGGGAGGCAGCGGUGGGGAAUAUUGCACAAUGGGGGAAACCCUGAUGCAGCGACGCCGCGUGGAGGAAGAAGGUCUUCGGAUUGUAAACUCCUGUUGUUGAGGAAGAUAAUGACGGUACUCAACAAGGAAGUGACGGCUAACUACGUG
RNAcentral lists this ribosomal RNA (466 nucleotides) under uncultured bacterium. RNAcentral's name for it is "partial 16S ribosomal RNA". It matches the Rfam family "Bacterial small subunit ribosomal RNA", at positions 28 to 507 of the family's 1533-position model. The record is from RNAcentral.